This is a long non-coding RNA of Pan troglodytes (chimpanzee), 5159 nucleotides long. RefSeq lists it as uncharacterized. The record is from RefSeq and is a predicted model, not a curated record. The transcript is spliced from 2 exons. Lineage: Eukaryota; Metazoa; Chordata; Mammalia; Primates; Hominidae.
CAGUUGCUAGAAGACGUUGGCUUUGAUUUCUACUCUGCCUCUUACUAUAGUUGUGUAACCUUAGAGAAGUGCCUUUACUCUUUGAGCUGAUGUCAUGCCCAUCUAUAAAACUGGGGUGAAGAUUCCAAUUUUCCAACAUUCUAAAGCUUUUAAAGGCCAACAGAGAUCAUAUUGCAGAAUGCAGAGCUGGAGGUGGAGAUGGAGAGGGAAGAUUGGCCAGCACCUGCAAAGGCCUUGAAGUGAGAUGGGCAAAGGUGAUAGUGAGUUUAGAUGAAACGGGUAAUCUGGGGUCAAAAUAAUGAAAAUCAGUGUAGUUCACAUUAGGGAUUUUCAUCUUUAUCUUGAGAGCUGUAAGAACACCUUGAACUAUUUUAAAAAUGGCAAAGAGGCUUGAGAUCAUCAGGUUUGUGUUUUGAGAUCAUUCUCGUGAAGAAAAGUUCCAGGGUUCCAUGUGUCCUUUGUAUCUUGGUGGCUCUCACAUCUUUAGCUCUGGCUCACACCUUUAUUCCAAGUUUCAUACAUGUUUAUUCAACUGUCUAUAGGACAACUCUCACGAAUGUUUCCUAAGCACUCAAACCCAGCAUGUAUCAAACUGAACUCUUGAUCUUCCUCCCCAGUCCUGACUCUCCUCCACUGUCCUCUCCACACUGUAUUUCUUUUAAAUGGAAACUGUAGCAGAAACUGCUAGUUGCGUCUUCCUUCUUCUUAGUAAUAGAAUCUUGGGCAAUAUGCCUAGCAAAACACUAUGUUUCUACAUUUCCCAGACUGUCCCACAGCUGGAAGUGACUGACUUCUAGCUGACGAGAUGUAAGUGGAAGCUUUGCUUCCAGGAAAGCUCUUUAAAGGAGCUCCAUUUUGCACUUCCACUUAUUCUCUUUCUUAUACCCUGAAACAUAGGUGUGAUGGCUGGAACUCCUGCAGCCACCUUGGACCCUGAGGAUAGAACAAAUGUGGCAGAGUAGUUAAUAGAUAGAACCAAGUAUUGAAGAGCUUCUAAACAGGCUUGGACUAUCUACCGUCAGAUGACUUUCACCUGAGGAAAAACAAAUUCUUCUUGCUGUUUAAGUCAUUAUAAUUGGAUUUAUUGUUCCUCACAGAUGAAACGAAUCCUAAGUGAUAGGAUUCUGGAAAUUCUCCCCUAAAUCUACUCUUAUACAAAGUUCUGCAUUCUGGCUAUCUCUUCAGUACAUCUCCUUCUUUUAUUCUUGUCUGAGCCACAUCAUCUUUUGCUGGGAUGAUUGUAACAACCUCCUUACUGUCCCUCAGCUUUCAAGCCCCUCCCCACCAAUGCCCAUGCUCAAAGAAUUUCUACCUUUUAGGUAAAAAGACAUUCUAGAACUCAAUUAUGACUCUGCUACUUCUAGGGGAAUCGUGGAAUUAUGGGCACUGAAAAUGUAGAGCUUACAGGGCCCUUAAAGUUCAUUUAAUUUUGAAUUUCUUACUUGUUGGUUUGGCUUGAUUAAAAAAAAAAGCAAAUGGAGUUUUCCUUGGGCCUCUUGUGAUUGUAUAUAAAUUAUUCAAUAUAUAAAAUACAGAAGGCUGUGCACAGUGGCUCACACAUGUAAGCCUAGCACUUUCAGAGGCUGAGGUGGGAGGAUCGCUUGAAGUCAAGAGUUCGAGACCAGCCUGGCCAAUAUGGCAAAAUCCCGUCUCUACUAAAAAUGCAAAAAUUAGCUGGGAGUGGUGGUGGGUGCCUGUAAUCCCAGGUCCUCAGGAAGCUGAGGCAGGAGAAUCACUUGAACCCAGGAGGCGGAGAUUACAGUGAGCUGAGAUUGUGGCACUGCACUCUAGCCUGGUCCACAGAGCGAGACUCUGUCCCAAAAAUAUAUAUCUAUAUCUAUAGAUAUAGAUUAUAUAGAGAAAUGGACCUCUCUGGAGAAGAUGCAGAGUUUUCAGCAGAUUCUCAUAGGCAUUCAACAAAAAUUAAGAAUCUGGCAAGUCUAUCCUCCUCAUUUUAUAGAUGGGGAAACUGAGGCACACAGCAGUUAAGUGACGUGUCCAAGGUCACAAAGAGACUCAGUGGCAGAGCUGGAACACAGACUAGUGCUCUCUUCUCCACAAAAGUGCGGCCAACUGACAGUGAAGGCAGAUGCUGAGACCUCAUAUUUCUCUCGAGGACUGAGUGUCUGUUUUCACUCAGCCUACUCUGGUUGGACUCACACUGAUGAGGACUGGAAUGUAAUUAGUACCAGUGAAUACCAAAAGCCUUAAGAGAGUUAUUAAUUAUAUACAUUUCUGUUUACAGGAGAAUAAUACUGUUAGCUUCAUUAAGCACCAUUAUCUGUGCAUGAUCUAAUAGUUUCAACAUAAUGAAACUGAUACAUUUCAGAGGAAUGGAAGGAAAUAUUACACAUCUGUAAAUUGGAUUAUUCUGAGCUAGGAAGUCUUUGAGGUGGUGAUAAUAAUUGUUCUGAUAAUCCUCACAUCUAAUUGGUACUGUGAUUUACAGUUUACAUAUCUGUGAAGGUUGAAUCAAAUGCUAAUCUGCCAUGUUAGCUUCUGAUUAACCCGUUCUGGGAAGGCCUCUGAGAUUUCCAGUUUAUCUGUUGUUCGUCGUGUAAGAGGACUGUACUUCCUGCAAAUCCUGCCCUCAGGGCAAUUUCCUACCUAUUCUCUGUGAAACAUGUAUGCCUCUCCCCUAGAGUAUAUAAUCUCUGGGUCUGGAGGCUAUUGGUGCCACAGGGAUCCACCAUCUUGUCUUUCCACCACCCAAGACACAGGCAUGGUUUCUGUUCCUAAGCCCCUAUUAAAUAUUUCUUCCUAAGAAACUGGAUUUGUCAGCCUCUUUCUCCAGCUUCUCAGCUUCCUCAGACUUUGGGGUAGGUUUGCAUAGGCCUGCCCAAGGCAAAACAGUAUUAUUUUCACAUACCUUAUUAUCUUAUUUUAUUCUUCCAGAAGUUUGGAGAGGACAGAGAAAACAGUGUACUAGUUAGGAAUAUUUUGGUUGCAAGCAACAGAAAAAUCCAACUUAAAAUACUAAGGAAAAAAGAAAUGGGGAUAGGGGUCAAUGAGAAGAUUGUUGGCUCACAUAACUGAAUUGCCCUGUAAUAUUCUGAUUCAGGAAUGGUUUGAUCGAGGGGUUCAUGCUACCAUUAAGGCUCUGGCUUUGUUCCUGGAUGAUUCUUUCAGCUGCCUUGUUGGCUUCCUCUUCAGGUUGACUCUUCCAUAGUACAAUAUUUCUGGCCUCCUAUUCUCAUAGCCUCACAUCACACUGCACAAAAAGCAGACAGAUGCUUCUGGUAGGUCUUUUGGAAGAUGGAUCACUUGUCUGUCCCAGAAACCUCAGAAAACCUUUUCACAUGUCACAUUAGUGUGAACUAGGUCAGAUGCCCAUCCUUCAACCAAACUACAGUGAACAAGGGAUAGUAGGCACUUAUUGGCUUAAGCCAAUCCAGACCUACUCUAGAGCUGGGGGUGAGAUCAAUCUCGGUGAAAACAACAGAGCUGAAGAUGGUGAGUAGUUACCUAUGGAACCUACAUCAAAUCCUUAAUUAAUGUAGUUACCUACGGAAAACGUAAGUGCGUGGUAGGAAGGGGGGAUAUGAUCUGGGGGAACAACCCAGUAUUCCAUCACACGGUGGUUCAGAAAGGUUAAGAGACAUGUCAAAGUCACACAAAUUAUGACUGGUGGGAUGAAAAUAGAAAAUUCUUGUCUCAAAUCUUCUACCAUAAACAUGAGCCUUCCUUAGAAAACUGAAGGAUUUUCCCACCAUCCUCAUACUUAUCUACCAUCUCUGUUCUUAGAAAAGCACUGGAAAACCCCUGGUAUCAUUCUGAGCCAGGAAAUUCCUGUCCAUGCCUGCUGAAGACACAGAGCCCAAACUCCAGAUAGUAGAGGAAGUGAGACUUGUUGACAUUGUCCUUCAUGCAUAGAAAUUCCCUCCAAGGCCGGGCAUCGUGGCUCACACUUGUAAUCCCAGCACUUUGGGAGGCCAAGGUGGGCAGAUCCCUUGAGCUCAAGAGUUCAGGACCACCCUGGCCAACAUGACAAAAUCCUGUCUCUACAAAAAUUAGCCAGGUGCAGUGGUGUGUGCCUGUAGUCCCAGCUCCUUGGGAGGCUGACGUGGGAGAAUCACUUGAGUUUGGGAGGCAGAGGUUGCAGUGAGCUGAGAUUGCGCCCAUUGCAGCCUGCCUGGGCUGUGGGAGUGAAAACCUGUCUCAAAAAAAAAAAAAAAAAAGAAAGAAAGAAAGAAAGAAAGAAAGAAAGAAAGAAAUUCCCUCUAAUGUUGUCACAGGAAGUAGCUUGACAGAAGCAAGUCUCAGUUAUUUUUUCACAGAUCCACACCCUUCCAAGUCAAGUUGAGAUUUAAAGUAGGCAAGUCCAUUCCUCACAUCACAAAUCAAAUCACCAUGACGAUGACCUCCCCAAUCAUGCUGCUUUCCCCAAGAUUCCAAUUCACUUUAAUAAGAAUCAUCUCCUACCACGAUGCCUGGAACUGGCCAACAGUACCUCUAGCUACCAUGUCCUGAGUUCCUCUGAGCUAUGGGCCAUGUACCAAAGUUCUUCCAACAAUUUAAGCCAGGAAUUGCCCCACUGUUUCCCAGGUGAUGAGAGCCUCUGAGAGGUGAGAUUCCACAUCCCAAGUUGCACAGCUGGGGAGAGACAGUGUCAGGACAGUAUUGCCUGUGCUGAGGUCUAGCUCCCCAGCUAGACAGAAGCUUUAUGAGGAUUUUAUUCAUUUCAAGUCUGGAUCUCCUGGGGCAACCAGAUUGUGCCCUUGAUGUGCGAUUGUUGUCAAAACAAGAGUGAUCAUUUAUUGAGAACUUACCGGGUGUGAAGCCUUGUGCUAAAAGGAUUUUAUGUGCUUCGGGUGAUUUAAUUAUUUUUCCCAGCCACCCCGUGAGGAAUGAAAGCCUUGAUUGAAAGGCUUGUCCAACAAUACAGCUUUAACAGGGCCACCUGCUCAGGACACAGUAAGUAGCGACAGGAAACAUCUGCUUUGGAAACGCCGGUGCUUCUGUUGAUUGAAAUGUACACACAGGAAAGCCGUCUUCCAGUCCGGGGGAAUUUCUGAGCUGAAGAGAUUGUGGUAUUAUUGACCACAUCAAGAAGAGCUGGAAAUGGGAGAACUCUUGGGUGGCAGAGGAGCAGAUCCCAGGCCAGCAGGGGUCCUCUUGGUAAUAAUAACAAUUGCUGAUAAAUAUUGUUUCAUGAAGAA